This is an RNA transcript of Enhydra lutris kenyoni (northern sea otter), 2222 nucleotides long. It is a transcript of the gene named polynucleotide kinase 3'-phosphatase, with no coding region annotated. The transcript has 18 exons. The record is from RefSeq and is a predicted model, not a curated record. NCBI's taxonomy places the organism in Eukaryota, Metazoa, Chordata, Mammalia, Carnivora, Mustelidae.
CUGGGCCGGGGACCCUUGACCCAGGUUACCGACCGGAAGUGCUCCAGAAACCAAGGCGAGAACCGCCUCACAGGCAGUCCUGAGGCCUCUGAUUACUGCAUGUCAAGGAGACAGCCGAUCCCAUUUGAAAAUAAACUGCUUUCCCUCCCGAGUGGGAUGUAGCGUCCCCAUCGCAUGGCCUGAAGCUGGCCAUCCUCCCAAUAGUGGGGAAGGCACUCGCACAAGGAUGCACAUUCUGACUCCACACUCUCAACCCUCAGUGGAGCUGGUCGCAGACCCCGGGACCAAGACUGUGACAGUGAAACAGCUGGGAAUUAACCCCUCAACUGCUGGGACCCAGGAGCUGGCUCCGGGGUCAGAAGGUUCUCUGAGGUUGGGGGACACACUGUAUUUGGUCAACGGCCUCCACCCGCUAACCCUGCGCUGGGAAGAGGCCCGCACGCCUGAAUCCCAGCAGGACACUCCGCCCCGCACCCCUCCGGUGGCUCCAGACGUGGCACAGGAUGUUGAGCCGCAGAAAAAGCGGAUGCGAAAGUCAUCCCCGGGCUGGGAGAAGUUCGAGAAGCUGCUAGUGUUUACUGCACCUGGGGUGAAGCCCCGCGGCAAGGUGGCCGGCUUUGAUCUGGACGGGACCCUCAUCACCACACGCUCUGGGAAGGUCUUUCCCACUGGCCCCAGCGACUGGAGGAUCUUGUAUCUCGAGAUUCCGCGGAAGCUCCGGGAACUGGAUGCCGAGGGCUACAAGCUGGUGAUCUUCACCAACCAGAUGGCCAUUGGGCGUGGGAAGCUGCCAGCAGAGGAGUUCAAGUCUAAAGUGGAGGCCGUGGUGGAGAAACUGGGGCUCCCCUUUCAGGUGCUGGUGGCCACGCACGCCGGCUUGUACCGGAAGCCGGUGGUCGGCAUGUGGGACCAUCUGCAGGAGCAGGCCAACGAGGGUAUGCCCAUCUCCAUCAGGGACAGUGUCUUCGUGGGAGAUGCAGCUGGACGCCCAGCCAACUGGGCCCCUGGGCGGAAGAAGAAAGACUUCUCUUGCGCAGACCGUCUGUUCGCACUCAACCUUGGCCUGCCCUUCGCCACACCGGAGGAGUUCUUUCUGAAGUGGCCUGUGGCCGGCUUUGUGCUCCCGACCUUUGACCCGAGAACCAUCUCUCCCUCGGGGCCGCUCUACCUCCCUGAGUCCAGCUCCCUCUUGAGCUCCGACCCCGAAGUGGUGGUCGCCGUGGGAUUUCCUGGGGCUGGCAAGUCCACCUUCCUCCAGGAGCACCUCGUGUCUGCGGGCUACGUCCACGUGAACAGGGACACGCUGGGCUCGUGGCAGCGCUGUGUGACCAUGUGUGAGAACGCGCUAAAGCAAAGGAAACGGGUUGUGAUCGACAACACCAACCCAGACCCUCCGAGCCGGGCCAGGUACAUUAAGUGUGCCCGAGGCGCAGGGGUCCCCUGCCGCUGCUUCCUCUUCACCACCACCCUGGAGCAGGCUCGCCACAACCACCGGUUCCGAGAGAUGACGGGCUCCUCCCACGCCCCUGUGUCAGAUGUGGUCAUGUACGGCUACAGAAAGCAGUUCGAGGCUCCGACCCUGGCGGAAGGAUUCUCGGCAAUCCUGGAGAUCCCGUUCCGGCUGAAUGUGGAGCCCGCGUUCGAGCGCCUGUACUCCCAGUUCUCGGAGGGCUGAGCGCCCCCCACCUGUCCCUGCCCCUUCCCCUACCUCCACCCCCACCCCCAAUAAAUCCUGUUUUUCUUUAUGCUUGAGCAGCACUGUGCUGGGGAGGAGGGUCUGCUCAGGACAGGCAGGGCUGGGGCACUGGGCUGCUGGCCUGCCCACAGAGGGCAGUUUAGGCUUCUCAGACCCAUGGCUGUGGGCACCCUAGACUGAGGCUGGGGAACCCCCAAGGAGGUGGAGGGAGCUCUUCCCUGCCUGCGGCUGCCCAGCUACCGAGCCAGCCGAGGCUCGAGCGAUGGGACCCUGAGGACGCGGGCUGGCCCCCCGUUUGCCAGGUGCAGCCUGAUGAGCCCACAGGGACGGAGGCGAGGAGACCGGGUCCCAGAACACGGCCGGCCGGCUCUAGGGAGGACAGGCCACCGGCCACAGCUCACCAGGGACGGACCAGCCACUGAGGGCAGCUCCAUGAAGUUCCGCUGCAGGACCUGCUGCUGGUUGGCGAUGACGCGCCGGAUUCCAUUGACGAAGUUGCUCUGGUCGUGGGGGAUGAGGCCGAUGA